AAGGAUUUAAGUUAAAAAAACUAAUAGCCUUCAAAGCUGUAAAUAGAGAGAUAAGAGCUUUAAGCCUUA
This 69-nucleotide transfer RNA is filed under the name Trachypachus holmbergi. Its description in RNAcentral is "tRNA-Trp". Lineage: Eukaryota; Metazoa; Arthropoda; Insecta; Coleoptera; Trachypachidae. The record is from RNAcentral.